This is a long non-coding RNA of Metopolophium dirhodum (rose-grain aphid), 467 nucleotides long. RefSeq lists it as uncharacterized. The record is from RefSeq and is a predicted model, not a curated record. The transcript has 3 exons. Lineage: Eukaryota; Metazoa; Arthropoda; Insecta; Hemiptera; Aphididae.
ACACGCGAUAUGUAUACAUUAUACAUACACACACAUUACACAUGAUAUGCACGUCCACAUUCGGUGGUCCAACGACGUUCGUGCACAUCGACGCAUACGACUGUCGUUAUUCUCUGGGCGCGAAGAAAGUCGUAUAAUAUUACAAUAACGACUGCUCUGCUUUGUCGACGAACUGCGAAACUUGAACCAAGCCGACUCAGGACGAAACAUGGAGGCACUGUUGGAGGAAAGGAUUCAACUGCUGCAGGAGCGCAUGAAAGCGAUCACUGCGCAGCGAGAACAAAUCGAACAAGCUAAUCGCGGGCUAGAGGAAGAGCUCAACAAGCUCAGUAAGAAUUUUGUGAAAAUUACGAACAAUGUCAAAGUCACAGAUGAAACAGAAGAAGAAAAAACGAAUUAAUCAGUUCCUUGAUGUAUUCAAUUAUAUUAAUUGAACUAUAACAAUAAUUACUUAAAACUACUUUGAA